RNAcentral lists this long non-coding RNA (151 nucleotides) under Carlito syrichta (Philippine tarsier). Its description in RNAcentral is "TP53 target 1 conserved region 1 (ENSTSYG00000032653.1)". It matches the Rfam family "TP53 target 1 conserved region 1". Lineage: Eukaryota; Metazoa; Chordata; Mammalia; Primates; Tarsiidae. The record is from RNAcentral.
GAGGCCCAGCGGGGAUCUGUGGUCACUGUUCUCUUACCAGGACUGGAGGUGGACAAUAAGGUUCCUUUGUAAAUAAUUGGUAGAAAUUUUCGCUUCGGGGCUGCAGUGGGAGUCGCACUGGGAAGAGGGAGGCGUGGCUGCUGAAUCAGAG